AACAAACGCUGGCGGCGUGCCUAACACAUGCAAGUCGUGCGAGAAAGUUCCUUCGGGAGCGAGUAAAGCGGCGCACGGGUGAGUAACACGUAGGUAACCUGCCCCCCAGUCUGGAACAACUAGAGGAAACUCUAGCUAAUGCCGGAUGAGACCACGAUCCCUUCGGGGGUUGCGGCCAAAGAUGGCCUCUACUUGUAAGCUAUCGCUGAGGGAUGGGCCUGCGGGCCAUUAGCUUGUUGGUGAGGUAACGGCUCACCAAGGCUGUGAUGGCUAGCUGGUCUGAGAGGAUGACCAGCCACACUGGGACUGAGACACGGCCCAGACUCCUACGGGAGGCAGCAGUGGGGAAUAUUGCGCAAUGGGCGAAAGCCUGACGCAGCGACGCCGCGUGGGUGAUGAAGGCCU
Molecule: ribosomal RNA, 405 nt
Filed under: uncultured bacterium
Lineage: Bacteria
Description: bacterial SSU rRNA
Rfam family: Bacterial small subunit ribosomal RNA
Source: RNAcentral